Molecule: unclassified non-coding RNA, 148 nt
Organism: Pongo abelii (Sumatran orangutan)
Lineage: Eukaryota; Metazoa; Chordata; Mammalia; Primates; Hominidae
Rfam family: Metazoan signal recognition particle RNA
About the family: The signal recognition particle (SRP) is a universally conserved ribonucleoprotein.
Source: Ensembl
GCUGGGUGUGGUGGUGCAUGCCUGUAAUCCCAGCUACUUGGGAGGCUGAGGCAGGAGAAUCACUUGAACCCUGGAGGCGGAGGUUGCAGUGAGCUGAGAUCAUGCCACUGCACUCCAGCCUGGGUGACAGAGUGAGACUCCGUCUCAA